AAAACAGUUUAAGAGCAACGGCAGUUUUGUUCUGGAUGUUGAGAAGGUUUAUUUAUUUAUUUUUAAAAUACAUUUCGAAAGCUUCAGAAGAGGAACAGCGUGGGUUGGUUUUUUUUUUUUUUUUUUUUUUUUUUUUUUUUUUUUUUUUUUUUUUUUUUUUUUUUUGGUGCGUGUGUGUUGGGUGAUAUAAUAACCACGUGGCCUCGCUGUCUUUAGGGAGGUGCUGGAGGCACUUCAGAAUAAAGCAUGCCUUUAUAACGAUCCGCACUGGGUGGCCUGUGCUGUGGCUCAGAAAUGGGUGAUGAAAUGGGGCAGGCCAGCGUGUGCAGCUCUGGUGAAUGCUGCAGCACAGUGGAAAAAACCAACCCCGUGCAUGGGGCUGCGCUGUUUGCUCACACGUGGAGCACGGCUUCGGGUGCCUCUCCCGCAGCUCCACAUUUUUUUGCUCCAUUUAACUAAAGGUGAGCUAAGGUAAUUGGUUUUUCUCUUUAAUGUACCUCCUGGUUUGUGUCAGCUGUCCCCGGCAGGAUGUGAUGUGUUUUCCUUUGGAUCGCGGAGCACUUACAUAACUGUGUGCUUAUCAUUCACCGUUCGGUUUGUUUUUCCCUGGUGACUUCUGGAAGGAGGGAUGUUGUCUCUCACAAGACUUCAUGCAGAGGUUCUGCAUUUUGCUCUGCUCUUGGUUCUCCCAAUGGACAGCUCUACCCCCAUCCUAGCUGCUUGCUUCUCCCCCAGACUGUCACAUGGUGGCGAGGCCUUGGGAAGAAGAAGUACAGCCCUGUGUCAUGGGCAAAUCUUGCAGGCUGUCCUUGGUGAUGUGCCAGGUUGUUUCUUCACAGUGAGCGCUGCAGAUGCGGGACUGUGUGUGGGAGGAAGGGCUUUUAUUUUCUCCUGCUCUGUGCAGUUUCUCACUGAAACAGGAUGUGUAGUAUCUGUGAGUUUUUCAGUCUGUUUGGCUGACUUUGUGUUUAGUGACUGUAAUUUCACCACAGAUAGUGACUUUAGAGAACUGCAGUGUUUGGUAUCUGCUAAGAGCUGGGUCCAAAGUAACAGCAGUGGGUCUGUCCUUGUGGAGAUGGCCUUAACUGGCACUGACCAGAGGAAAAGUAAAGGGGUGAGAGACUCACAAGGUACAAUCCCCUCAGCUGGUCCUUAAGGGUCUGCAGCUGUGGGUGUUGGUGACACAAACGCAGCUGAACCCAGUGUUCUGAGGUGACAGCGUGUGGGCUGCAGGCUGGAAUCACAGCAAAAGUGAACUUACUGAUAGCUGUGGGAAUUUCUUUCUUGCUUGGAGCCAUUUUAUGUUUAUCUUGUGGGGUGGUUCAGUUCAACUCCAGGUGUUGUUAAGGUGGGGUGUAGAUCUGUGGGUCUCAGCUGAACCUAGCUGUAAAAGACCUCGGCCUCUUCCUGACACUGAGUUGACUCUGAGCCAGGAGCAUGUUGCUGUUGCUCUCCUGUUUCCUCAGAGUUAAUGAGGCUUUUUGUUUUCUGUCUCACCUGUUAACCCCAGGUGUUGCAUGUGGUUGAAGGAGAUGUGAGUUACCAGCCAAAUGCUGAGGAAAUGCUGCGGGCACAGGGUGGGAUGAGGCUGUGAGCUGCCCUGGGCUGCUCAGAACCAGUUCAGUCCAGCUCUAAUACCUUUGGCAUGCUGGAGAUCCAGCCAGCAGGGUGGGCUGAUGUCACCUGCCAUGUUGUGCCUUGGUGGGGAUGUCCCCUCACAUUGGAGGGGCUCAGUGCUGAGGGGACAGCAGCCUGGUCGUGCUGGAUCAGGGGUGCUGAGGCAUGGCAUGAAGGAUGGGUGAUGGACCAGAGGCCUCAGGCAGCUAUCCUCUGGCCCACAAGUUGCCCUUACCUCAUGAGAGAGACAGGGGGGUUGAGGUAGCUUGUGUCGUACAUUGGGAAAGCAGAGACUUAAGGCAGGAGAGUGUAGGUGUUUGGCUGAGAGGAUGGGGAAAGGGAAGGAAAGGAAUGUACGGACCGUUUGUGUUCUUCUUUUGGUGUUCUUCACCCUCCUUAGCAGUAAUCAGAAGUUUGUAUAAUUGGCAAUAAGUGAGUUUAAGAUUUCCCUGAGAUAAGACUGUUCUGCCAGGGGUGGUUGCUGUUGGAGGGCAUGUGCAGUGCUCGGUGCUGUUGUCUCCCAGACAGGAGUAAUGGAGAGACUCCAGGGCUCUGAAGGGAGCCAUGAUCCCAGUCCUGGGAAUACAGGGUGGUGUGUGAAGGUGGUUGGGUGAAGUACAGAUGCUGUGAAAAGUCAGAGAAAGGAGGGACCUGGGGACACCACUGGGAAAACAGGCAUUAACAAAUGUUCAGAGUGAAGGGGAGGCAGUUGGUCAGAAGCAGGCAGUUAGUGCUGAGCUGGCCGGUUUGGAGGCUAUGCAUCAGCCAGCUGAGUGACCAACUCAGGGCAGGGCUGCAACACCCUGGGGGAGAAACAGGUCUUGUGGUGAAGUAAAAGCAAAGCUUUUUCAGGCAUCCCCAGCUGCAAUCAUUAUGUAGACCUGUGGAGAUGAGUGCGUGUGUGCCCAGUGAGCGAGUGCGCUGCCAGCAGUUCUUUGCCCACAGUGAAAUUACAGAACUGCUGGACACUGGCAGCAUGGCUGUGCUGGGAAAAGCCGGCGCACAUGGAGUAUGGCUUUUGCUAUGGGAGAAGUGAGCAGAACUCUGGGAAGUUAGGGCUCUACUGCUUGCAAGCACUGCCCUGCACACGAGAAGAAGGCUUGGGACCCAUGAAGAGCUAUGUGGAGCACUGAUCCUGCUCAUCCCACAGGUGAGAUAUGCCCACAGAAGGACUGGGAGGAAGAAGGAAAUAAUUGCAGUUGCUUGGACCACUGGAUUGUGUUCACAAGCCGGGGGAAAGGACCCUGAAAAAUUACAAUAACUGAGGCCAUGGCUCAGAAACUCUGAUGGCUGACUCCCCUCUGGUACUGCCUGCAAAAAACUCCAGGAACAACAACAACAAACAAUCCCUGAACACGUAUCCUGUGAUUUCAUUUAUAGCAGGAGCAGCAAGAAAGCUAGGUAAAUUGAUAGGAAGAAUAUUAGACCAAGCUCCAGAAGAAGACAGGACAAGACCAUCUUCAGUAUUCUGCACUGUUCUGUGAGUUUUGCCCCUGGAAAGGAAGGAAUUAAUAUCUUCUAUCAAAAUAAGUUUUCUGCAUCAAACUGUAUGAGAUACUUAAGAGAAGCUGCCACUCCUUCUCCCUGAGAGUUUGGGAAUGCUGAGAGACGAUCCCUGCUUGUUCUGGAGGUUGAAGGAUGCCAGAUCACUCAUAAUCACUCACCUUAAAGUUCUCCACAAUGUGCUGUGGCAUGAUAGACUUGGGGAUCGCAAUCACAUUUCUCUUGAUCCGGAAGCUAAGGAGAACAUGCAGGAGAUCACCGUGUCCCUUGCUGCAGGUCUCCUCUGAGGGAUGGCUGCCCUCCAGAGGCUGUAGGAAAAAGCACGAUGUAGUUUUCUUGAUGGGAAUUAUCCCAGGGGGAAUUAAUGUCCAUUACGUGCAGAUGGCUCUGGAAAGGACAAGUAAGUAGUACUCAGUAUGCCCUGAAUCCAUUAGCCCAAGGCAGACUGCAACCACAGAUCCUUGAAGUACCAUGUUGUUGCAACACCUGCUAGCUCUCUUAGCACUGCUCAAUGACACAGCCUCCUUCUCUGCAUUCCCCUCCACCAGCGAAAGGCUUUACUCAUACACAAACCUAGUUAAAUCAGUCCUGUCCCAGUUAUUGUGCUAGCACAGCCUGGAGAGGAACAUGACACUUAUUCCAGCUGAAUGCAUCAGGCUUUGGGCAGCAGCCCAGCAUCAGCAAUUUAAAGUAGAGGGUGCAAGGUGGAACUGCUAUUCAGUAUUACAUAAUGCUGCCUUCACUCAAUCUCUGUUACCGCAGCCAAAUGCCAGCACCAGCUGCUAACUAAAUCUGUUUGUAGCAGUAACACCAUACAGCCUUCUACCAGUUUCAGUCUCCUGGUUCUUGAUACACAGCCCACACUAAGCCAUGUCACAGUCACUGCUGCUGUCUGCAUUGUUCCAUCAACUAAUGUUUAUUGUACUGAGGUAUUAAACUCUUGAUCAAGAUAAGAUCUUGGUACUCCUAUGACAGUUUAAAAUGCAUAAUAGGUUCAGAUGACAUUUUUAACACAAUGGCAUUGGUUUACCAAUUUUUCCACAUUAGACAACAGCUUCCACACCAUCAGUAGUCAAACUUCUUUAUUUUUUAGAGAAUACAGACACAAAGCAUAGUUCAGUUUUGGCUGUAAAGAAUGUGACUGCAAUAAAACCACUAUGCAUCUAUAA
Numida meleagris (helmeted guineafowl) is the source of this 4289-nucleotide long non-coding RNA. RefSeq lists it as uncharacterized. The record is from RefSeq and is a predicted model, not a curated record. The transcript has 2 exons. Lineage: Eukaryota; Metazoa; Chordata; Aves; Galliformes; Numididae.